GCCCCUGUAGCUCAGCGGUAGAGCGCCUGUCUCGUAAACAGGAGGUCACGAGUUCAAUCCUCGUCGGGGGCU
Molecule: transfer RNA, 72 nt
Filed under: Microcaldota archaeon
Lineage: Archaea; Nanobdellati; Microcaldota
Description: tRNA-Thr
Rfam family: tRNA
About the family: Transfer RNA (tRNA) molecules are approximately 80 nucleotides in length. Their secondary structure includes four short double-helical elements and three loops (D, anti-codon, and T loops).
Source: RNAcentral